RNAcentral lists this ribosomal RNA (435 nucleotides) under Triticum aestivum (bread wheat). Its description in RNAcentral is "partial small subunit ribosomal RNA". Lineage: Eukaryota; Viridiplantae; Streptophyta; Magnoliopsida; Poales; Poaceae. The record is from RNAcentral.
AUGGGUAUGCAGUCUAUGAUGGAUGUCCGAUGCACGAACCUUGUCAGCCCUGUAUGCGACUGGCUUGGUGAGAUCUACGACCCCGCCUCCAGGGAAUUCGUGAUUCCGGGACGUGGAAGACUACCGUUGAACGAGGAAUCCGUGUUCUGCACUUUGGGUGUGCCUCAUGGACAUAUAAAAGUCACGUACGAGGACAACAAUGAGAUCGAGGAAGCGUUGUUCCCCCGUUUGUUUCCUGGGUCGGAAUUCAUGCCGAACACGUCUGCAGUGCCAGAUUCGCUGCAGGCCAUGACGACGCAUGGAGAUGUUUUCAAGAUGAAGCUACUCAUGUACCUCAUCUCAGCUGUUUUCGCGCCGACCACCUCUCUUCGCCCAAGCAACAAAUGCUUCCCCAUCCUGAUGAAUGAUCCAUCUUUACUACUUUAUUUUCCUUAG